Molecule: small RNA, 539 nt
Filed under: Pan troglodytes (chimpanzee)
Lineage: Eukaryota; Metazoa; Chordata; Mammalia; Primates; Hominidae
Description: processed transcript
Source: RNAcentral
AAGUAACCACCCCGCACCUGCAGCUGCCAAGCUGGGCACACAGGGCGGCACCCUUCUGGGCUGUCCACCUCUACCUCGAGCCUGAUGCUAGUAUGGGGGGUUACACUGGGGACAUUUAUUCCAAUUCUAACUUGAAGAAUAAAAAUGACCUCUUUGAAUACAAGUUUGCAACUGGCCAGUGGACGGAGUGGAAAAUUGAAGGACGGUUGCCAGUCGCUAGGUCAGCCCAUGGGGCCACGGUGUACAGUGACAAGCUGUGGAUCUUUGCUGGCUAUGACGGCAACGCCAGGUUGAAUGACAUGUGGACAAUUGGCCUCCAGGACCGAGAGCUCACCUGCUGGGAGGAGGUGGCCCAGAGUGGGGAGAUCCCCCCAUCUUGCUGCAACUUCCCCGUGGCUGUGUGCCGGGACAAGAUGUUUGUAUUCUCUGGGCAAAGCGGAGCCAAAAUAACCAACAACCUCUUCCAGUUUGAAUUCAAGGACAAGACGUGGACACGCAUCCCAACUGAACACCUGCUCCGGGGCUCCCCACCACCCCCG